UUGGAGGGCAAGUCUGGUGCCCGCAGCCGCGGUAAUUCCAGCUCCAAUAGCGUAUAUUAAAGUUGUUGCAGUUAAAAAGCUCGUAGUUGAAUUUCGGGAUCAGUACGUUGGUCGUGCCUUAGGUACGUACUGGUGUUACUGGUUCCUACCUUCUGACGAACCAUCAUGUCAUUCAUUUGGUGUGGCGGGGAAUCAGGACUGUUACUUUGAAAAAAUUAGAGUGUUUAAAGCAGGCUCGCGCUUGAAUACAUUAGCAUGGAAUAAUGAAAUAGGACGUUGAUCCUAUUUUGUUGGUUUCUAGGAUUGACGUAAUGAUUAAUAGGGAUAGUUGGGGGCAUUAGUAUUCAAUUGUCAGAGGUGAAAUUCUUGGAUUUAUUGAAGACUAACUACUGCGAAAGCAUUUGCCAAGGAUGUUUUCAUUAAUCAAGAACGAAAGUUAGGGGAUCGAAGACGAUCAGAUACCGUCGUAGUCUUAACCAUAAACUAUGCCGACUAGGGAUCGGGUGAUGUUAAUUUUUUAAUGACUCAUUCGGCGCCUUACGGGAAAC
RNAcentral lists this ribosomal RNA (548 nucleotides) under uncultured Glomeromycotina. Its description in RNAcentral is "SSU rRNA". It matches the Rfam family "Eukaryotic small subunit ribosomal RNA", at positions 548 to 1098 of the family's 1831-position model. The record is from RNAcentral. Lineage: Eukaryota; Fungi; Glomeromycota.